This 944-nucleotide ribosomal RNA is filed under the name Paenibacillus xylanilyticus. RNAcentral describes it as "bacterial SSU rRNA". It matches the Rfam family "Bacterial small subunit ribosomal RNA", at positions 42 to 968 of the family's 1533-position model. Lineage: Bacteria; Bacillati; Bacillota; Bacilli; Caryophanales; Paenibacillaceae. The record is from RNAcentral.
GCGCUGCUAUACAUGCAGUCGAGCGGAAGUUGAUAGGAAGCUUGCUUCCUUGAUACUUAGCGGCGGACGGGUGAGUAACACGUAGGCAACCUGCCCUCAAGCUUGGGACAACUACCGGAAACGGUAGCUAAUACCGAAUACUUGCUUUCUUCGCCUGAAGGAAGCUGGAAAGACGGAGCAAUCUGUCACUUGAGGAUGGGCCUGCGGCGCAUUAGCUAGUUGGUGAGGUAACGGCUCACCAAGGCGACGAUGCGUAGCCGACCUGAGAGGGUGAUCGGCCACACUGGGACUGAGACACGGCCCAGACUCCUACGGGAGGCAGCAGUAGGGAAUCUUCCGCAAUGGGCGAAAGCCUGACGGAGCAAUGCCGCGUGAGUGAUGAAGGUUUUCGGAUCGUAAAGCUCUGUUGCCAGGGAAGAACGUCCUUGAGAGUAACUGCUCAAGGAGUGACGGUACCUGAGAAGAAAGCCCCGGCUAACUACGUGCCAGCAGCCGCGGUAAUACGUAGGGGGCAAGCGUUGUCCGGAAUUAUUGGGCGUAAAGCGCGCGCAGGCGGUCAUUUAAGUCUGGUGUUUAAUCCCGGGGCUCAACCCCGGAUCGCACUGGAAACUGGGAUGACUUGAGUGCAGAAGAGGAGAGUGGAAUUCCACGUGUAGCGGUGAAAUGCGUAGAUAUGUGGAGGAACACCAGUGGCGAAGGCGACUCUCUGGGCUGUAACUGACGCUGAGGCGCGAAAGCGUGGGGAGCAAACAGGAUUAGAUACCCUGGUAGUCCACGCCGUAAACGAUGAGUGCUAGGUGUUAGGGGUUUCGAUACCCUUGGUGCCGAAGUUAACACAUUAAGCACUCCGCCUGGGGAGUACGGUCGCAAGACUGAAACUCAAGGAAUUGACGGGACCCGCACAGCAGUGGAGUAUGUGGUUUAAUUCGAAGCAACGCGAGAAC